This 2798-nucleotide unclassified non-coding RNA is filed under the name Pomacea canaliculata. RNAcentral describes it as "all-trans-retinol 13,14-reductase-like, transcript variant X2". The record is from RNAcentral. Lineage: Eukaryota; Metazoa; Mollusca; Gastropoda; Architaenioglossa; Ampullariidae.
UUCCCUUGUUUGACACGCUGAGCCACCCAUCCGCCGACAACAGAGACUUUGUACUUUCUCACUCGUCGCUUCCUGGUUGCCAAGUGGAAACAUUACCGGCUACAACCUCGAGCAGCAAGUAGUGCUUGGCUUCCUACAGCGAAAAGAAGAAAUAGGUUUGCUGUUUCGUAUCUUGCUGUCCUACACCGAAAGCUCAAGAAGAAGAAAUAUAUUUAUUUUUGAAGUGACAUUGUAGGAGGAACAUGUUUUAAAAGAAAUAUUUACAUCAUCUGGGUGCAGUAACGUGAGUACGUGGCAGUCAGACUGGAAAUUGGAAGGAAAUGGCUGUGGAGCGGUUCCUUGACUAUUUGGCGGAGAAUCCUAGAUGGAUAGCCUUUGGUCUAGCCGGCUACACCACCCUGUACCUCAUCACUCGCAUGCUGAGUGGCCCACGCGCUGGACGCAACCCCUUCGCCACAGACAGCAGGAAGCCCAGAGAGCCCCUAGUCACAGAUCCUCAUGCCAGGGACGCAGUUCUCAAGCAGAGGUUCAAACAAAAUAAAGUGCCGGAUAAUCUGGAUGCCAUUGUAAUUGGCAGUGGUGCAGGGGGGCUAACAGCUGCUAUUCUCCUGGCAAAGGCUGGCAAGAGAGUUGUGGUUGUUGAACAGCAUGAUCAGGCUGGAGGAUGCUGUCACACCUUUGAGGAAAAAGGAUUUGAAUUUGAUACAGGUAUACACUACAUAGGUGACAUGGAGAACUCCACUUCACGUCAACUAUUGGACCAAAUAACAGAUGGACAGCUGGACUGGAUAUGCACAGACCAGAUCUUUGACACUGUGGCCACUGGCGAUCCAGAGAAUGUGAAGCUUUUUCCCAUGAAGACAGGCAAAGAUGACUACUUUCUUCAGCUGAUCAAGUUUUUCCCUGAAGAAAAAGAAUCCAUUAUGAAGUACAAACAGCUGAUUUUAGAUGCAAGCAAAAGCUUCUUUGGUUUGGUUGCCUUAAAGAUGAUGCCUAUGCGGCUUGCAUUGUUGCUGCUGAAGACAGGGCUUGCACGUCUGUUCUUUUCUUUCUCCAAGUACACUAGUGUCACUUUGCAAGAGACUUUGGACUCUUUGACAGCCAACAAAGAACUACACCUUGUUCUUUCUUACAUUGGUGGGGACUAUGGUGCACUUCCAAAGGAUACACCAUUUCUUCUCCAUGCACUUCUUAUCAAACACUAUUUGAAUGGGUCUUAUUAUCCCAUUGGUGGACCAUCAGAAAUUUCCUUCCAGAUGAUCCAGGCCAUUGAGCGCCUGGGAGGGAAAGUUUUUGUACAGGCACCUGUCACUGAGAUCAUCAUCAGUCCACAGGGGAGGGCAGUUGGUGUUAAGGUAGGAAAGAGCUCAGGCAGCGUGGCUAUAUAUGCCAAGACUAUUAUCUCUGAUGCUGGAGUGAUCAACACAUUUAAACAUCUGCUGCCCAGGGAGGUGGCCAAAAAGUCAUGCAUCUAUCCUGUCAUUGAUGCUGUUGGACCCAGUCUCUCUUUCGUGUCAACAUUUAUUGGAGUUGAUGGGAGCCAGUCCCAGCUGCAGCUUCCCUCUGGCAACAUCUGGUACUACAAGCACAAUGACAUCAACAAAAGUGUGGAUGAAUACUUGUCACUGGGUGUGGAUGAUAUCACUACGGCCUCUGCACCUCUCUACUUCAUCUCCUUUCCCUCUGCCAAAGACCCUACUUGGGAACAGCGACACUCAGGCAAGAGUGCAGUGCUUGUUAUCACCUUAGCCAGAUGGGAAUGGUUUAAGCAAUGGGAGAAUGAGCGUCUCAGGCACCGUGGUCAGGAUUAUGAAGAUAUUAAAGAAGCUUUGGGUCUGCAGAUGUGGCGCCUUUGCUGUAAUCUCUUUCCUCAGCUUGAUGGAAAAAAAGAGUAUAUGGAGGUUGGUACACCUGUAACUAACAAGUACUACCUAGCAGCUUCAUCUGGAGAAAUGUAUGGCUUGGACCAUGGUAAAAAUCGCUUUUCUCCAGAAACUUUUGCUGCCCUGCGAUCUGACACUGGCAUUCCUGGACUCUUCUUGACUGGCCAAGACAUCCUCUCAUGUGGAUUCACUUCAGUUUUAUAUGCAGGGCUUUUCUGUGCAUCCAGCAUACUUCACCGAAAUCUCUUGAAUGACUUGAAUGCGUUGGAUAAAUCUCUCAAGAAAUCACAGUGAUUGUAUGGAUUUAAAAUUUCCAAGCUUCCUUGCCCUGAACAAUGUUCAUGAGUCAAGUUGUGGGCGACAAUCUGAAAAAUCAACUGUUGCUGACCUACUCUCCCACUUUGCCUGCUGCCCCUCUCCCCACCCUCAGAUGAUUCAUUCUGGAUCAGCCAAAUGUAAACAUCUGCUUUUGCCUGAGCUUUUUUUUCUGUGGGUGACAUUCCUCACAGACCUGCAGCCACUGUUCAAGUUGAGGCUGGAUUAAAGGUGUUGAUACAAAAUGGUGUCUGUCAUUAACAAACUGUUGACAGCAGAGAAAUGUCAACAAUCAAACAUGGGCUUAUGUGAUUCCUAAAUAAAUGAUUAACUUGCUUAAUGUUAUUUAUUAGAGUCUGUAGCUUGUGCUUGUUGCUAAAGUACAAUACAAAUAGAAGUAUUGAAGUACAGAAAUCAUGGUUGAGAUGUAUUUGGUCAUACAAAUUUUGGUUUGGAGGAUAUAAUUAUAUGCAUUAUGCACUGCAAUUACCAUUUGUUUUAUUUACUAUUAAAAUUCAUGUUAUCAUAUUCACAAACAUGUAUGCACACAUGCAUCCCUAUUUUUGAUUAAAAUUAUUGAUUAAAAUAUGCUUGAUCUUU